RNAcentral lists this long non-coding RNA (402 nucleotides) under Rattus norvegicus (Norway rat). RNAcentral's name for it is "long non-coding RNA NONRATT013474". The record is from RNAcentral. Lineage: Eukaryota; Metazoa; Chordata; Mammalia; Rodentia; Muridae.
GACUUCCCCAUUCUGUGUCAGACGUGUCUUGGAGAAAACCCUUAUAUACGAAUGGUGAGUGCUUUCCUGUGCAGCGGAAGUAAACUGUUCCUUAUUUUGUGGUCCUUGCAAGGUAAAUGUAAAGAGUUUCUCUUAGCCGUUAGAAGAAUUGAUGCUCUUUCUAACCCAAAGGGAGGACAACUUGCAAAGUACUGCCCUACCUAUUUCCUCUCCUAGAUACUGAGCAGUAAUCCUGUGACAUAGGAGCUGUAACAUAACAGCUAAUACUUGUUGAGCAUCUAACCUAAAAAGUAGGUCUGUUGACAGGCGAGAAUAUCUUUACGUAGCACUACUUCCUGGCUACUAGUCAUGUAUCUCUCAGCCACUGUGCCUUGGGGUAGUCUCUCUAGUUUAAGAUACACU